This 253-nucleotide ribosomal RNA is filed under the name uncultured bacterium. RNAcentral describes it as "partial 16S ribosomal RNA". It matches the Rfam family "Bacterial small subunit ribosomal RNA", at positions 524 to 776 of the family's 1533-position model. The record is from RNAcentral.
UACGUAGGGUGCGAGCGUUGUCCGGAAUUAUUGGGCGUAAAGAGCUCGUAGGCGGCUUGUCGCGUCGGAGGUGAAAGCCCGGGGCUUAACUCCGGGUCUGCAUUCGAUACGGGCAGGCUAGAGUGUGGUAGGGGAGAUCGGAAUUCCUGGUGUAGCGGUGAAAUGCGCAGAUAUCAGGAGGAACACCGGUGGCGAAGGCGGAUCUCUGGGCCAUUACUGACGCUGAGGAGCGAAAGCGUGGGGAGCGAACAGG